RNAcentral lists this ribosomal RNA (1031 nucleotides) under Lactiplantibacillus plantarum. RNAcentral's name for it is "bacterial SSU rRNA". It matches the Rfam family "Bacterial small subunit ribosomal RNA", at positions 407 to 1431 of the family's 1533-position model. The record is from RNAcentral. Lineage: Bacteria; Bacillati; Bacillota; Bacilli; Lactobacillales; Lactobacillaceae.
GAAGAAGGGUUUCGGCUCGUAAAACUCUGUUGUUAAAGAAGAACAUAUCUGAGAGUAACUGUUCAGGUAUUGACGGUAUUUAACCAGAAAGCCACGGCUAACUACGUGCCAGCAGCCGCGGUAAUACGUAGGUGGCAAGCGUUGUCCGGAUUUAUUGGGCGUAAAGCGAGCGCAGGCGGUUUUUUAAGUCUGAUGUGAAAGCCUUCGGCUCAACCGAAGAAGUGCAUCGGAAACUGGGAAACUUGAGUGCAGAAGAGGACAGUGGAACUCCAUGUGUAGCGGUGAAAUGCGUAGAUAUAUGGAAGAACACCAGUGGCGAAGGCGGCUGUCUGGUCUGUAACUGACGCUGAGGCUCGAAAGUAUGGGUAGCAAACAGGAUUAGAUACCCUGGUAGUCCAUACCGUAAACGAUGAAUGCUAAGUGUUGGAGGGUUUCCGCCCUUCAGUGCUGCAGCUAACGCAUUAAGCAUUCCGCCUGGGGAGUACGGCCGCAAGGCUGAAACUCAAAGGAAUUGACGGGGGCCCGCACAAGCGGUGGAGCAUGUGGUUUAAUUCGAAGCUACGCGAAGAACCUUACCAGGUCUUGACAUACUAUGCAAAUCUAAGAGAUUAGACGUUCCCUUCGGGGACAUGGAUACAGGUGGUGCAUGGUUGUCGUCAGCUCGUGUCGUGAGAUGUUGGGUUAAGUCCCGCAACGAGCGCAACCCUUAUUAUCAGUUGCCAGCAUUAAGUUGGGCACUCUGGUGAGACUGCCGGUGACAAACCGGAGGAAGGUGGGGAUGACGUCAAAUCAUCAUGCCCCUUAUGACCUGGGCUACACACGUGCUACAAUGGAUGGUACAACGAGUUGCGAACUCGCGAGAGUAAGCUAAUCUCUUAAAGCCAUUCUCAGUUCGGAUUGUAGGCUGCAACUCGCCUACAUGAAGUCGGAAUCGCUAGUAAUCGCGGAUCAGCAUGCCGCGGUGAAUACGUUCCCGGGCCUUGUACACACCGCCCGUCACACCAUGAGAGUUUGUAACACCCAAAGUCGGU